AAGGCUAUAGCUUAGUUAAAGUGUCUACUUUGCAAGUAGAAGAUGUGGGUUAGUGUCCCGUUAGUCUUA
This 69-nucleotide transfer RNA is filed under the name Xenodexia ctenolepis. RNAcentral describes it as "tRNA-Ala". It matches the Rfam family "tRNA". Rfam says of the family: Transfer RNA (tRNA) molecules are approximately 80 nucleotides in length. Their secondary structure includes four short double-helical elements and three loops (D, anti-codon, and T loops). Lineage: Eukaryota; Metazoa; Chordata; Actinopteri; Cyprinodontiformes; Poeciliidae. The record is from RNAcentral.